RNAcentral lists this ribosomal RNA (492 nucleotides) under uncultured organism. Its description in RNAcentral is "bacterial SSU rRNA". It matches the Rfam family "Bacterial small subunit ribosomal RNA", at positions 28 to 507 of the family's 1533-position model. The record is from RNAcentral.
GAUGAACGCUAGCUACAGGCUUAACACAUGCAAGUCGAGGGGCAGCAUAGAAGUUAGCUUGCUAACUUCGGAUGGCGACCGGCGGAUGGGUGAGUAACACGUAUCCAACCUAGCCUUUACAACGGGAUAGGCUUUCGAAAGAAAGAUUAAUACUGUAUGUUCCGUGAUCGCCUCAUGGCGAUUCCGGCAAAGAUUUAUCGGUAAAGGAUGGGGAUGCGUUCCAUUAGGUAGUAGGUGAGGUAACGGCCCACCUAGCCUACGAUGGAUAGGGGUUCUGAGAGGAAGGUCCCCCACAUUGGAACUGAGACACGGUCCAAACUCCUACGGGAGGCAGCAGUGAGGAAUAUUGGUCAAUGGGCGAGAGCCUGAACCAGCCAAGUAGCGUGCAGGAAGACGGCCCUAUGGGUUGUAAACUGCUUUUGAAGGGGAAUAAAGGGGUCUACGUGUAGAUCUUUGCAUGUACCUUUCGAAUAAGGAUCGGCUAACUCCGUG